This is a non-coding RNA of Caerostris extrusa, 65 nucleotides long. NCBI's taxonomy places the organism in Eukaryota, Metazoa, Arthropoda, Arachnida, Araneae, Araneidae. The record is from the annotation of a GenBank genome assembly.
GUGGCACAACGGAUAACGCGCCUGACUACGGAUCAGGAGAUUCCGCGUUCGAAUCUCGGCUGGCU